UACGAAGGGGGCUAGCGUUGCUCGGAAUCACUGGGCGUAAAGGGUGCGUAGGCGGGUCUUUAAGUCAGGGGUGAAAUCCUGGAGCUCAACUCCAGAACUGCCUUUGAUACUGAGGAUCUUGAGUUCGGGAGAGGUGAGUGGAACUGCGAGUGUAGAGGUGAAAUUCGUAGAUAUUCGCAAGAACACCAGUGGCGAAGGCGGCUCACUGGCCCGAUACUGACGCUGAGGCACGAAAGUGUGGGGAGCGAACAGG
RNAcentral lists this ribosomal RNA (253 nucleotides) under uncultured bacterium. RNAcentral's name for it is "partial 16S ribosomal RNA". It matches the Rfam family "Bacterial small subunit ribosomal RNA", at positions 524 to 776 of the family's 1533-position model. The record is from RNAcentral.